AACGAACGCUGGCGGCAGGCUUAACACAUGCAAGUCGAGCGCACCGCAAGGUGAGCGGCAGACGGGUGAGUAACGCGUGGGAAUCUACCCAACCCUACGGAAUAACCCAGGGAAACUUGGACUAAUACCGUAUACGCCCUUUUGGGGAAAGAUUUAUCGGGGAUGGAUGAGCCCGCGUUGGAUUAGCUAGUUGGUGGGGUAAAGGCCUACCAAGGCGACGAUCCAUAGCUGGUCUGAGAGGAUGAUCAGCCACAUUGGGACUGAGACACGGCCCAAACUCCUACGGGAGGCAGCAGUGGGGAAUAUUGGACAAUGGGCGCAAGCCUGAUCCAGCCAUGCCGCGUGAGUGAUGAAGGCCUUAGGGUUGUAAAGCUCUUUCAGUAGGGAAGAUAAUGACGGUACCUACAGAAGAAGCCCCGGCUAACUUCGU
This 430-nucleotide ribosomal RNA is filed under the name uncultured bacterium. RNAcentral's name for it is "partial 16S ribosomal RNA". It matches the Rfam family "Bacterial small subunit ribosomal RNA", at positions 29 to 506 of the family's 1533-position model. The record is from RNAcentral.